Molecule: long non-coding RNA, 185 nt
Organism: Etheostoma cragini (Arkansas darter)
Lineage: Eukaryota; Metazoa; Chordata; Actinopteri; Perciformes; Percidae
Exons: 3
Source: RefSeq, a predicted model, not a curated record
UUUUUUCAACAAAAAUGCGGGGAUUAUGAAAUCAUGCAAGCCCUGCAUUAUUUUGCGCAGAAAUGAAAGUGUGGGUAAAAAUGCGGCCCCUGCAUAAAUAUGCAGACUUUGAUGCAAUAUGCAUUGAAUUAUGUGAUCGCAUAAUCGCGUUUUUCUAGAGGGACUGAAUACAGAGCACGUCAUCU